Molecule: unclassified non-coding RNA, 253 nt
Filed under: uncultured delta proteobacterium
Lineage: Bacteria; Deltaproteobacteria
Description: contains 16S-23S intergenic spacer region
Rfam family: Bacterial small subunit ribosomal RNA
Source: RNAcentral
UACGGAGAGUGCGAGCGUUGUUCGGAAUCAUUGGGCGUAAAGGGCGCGCAGGCGGUUCGGUAAGUCUGAUGUGAAAGCCCUCGGCUCAACCGAGGAAGUGCAUUGGAUACUGCUGGGCUUGAGUACGGGAGAGGGAAGCGGAAUUCCCAGUGUAGAGGUGAAAUUCGUAGAGAUUGGGAGGAACACCAGUGGCGAAGGCGGCUUCCUGGCCCGAUACUGACGCUGAGGCGCGAAAGCGUGGGGAGCAAACAGG